AGACCCGAAACCCGGUGAUCUAGCCAUGGGCAGGUUGAAGGUUGGGUAACACUAACUGGAGGACCGAACCGACUAAUGUUGAAAAAUUAGCGGAUGACCUGUGGCUGGGGGUGAAAGGCCAAUCAAACCGGGAGAUAGCUGGUUCUCCCCGAAAGCUAUUUAGGUAGCGCCUCGUGAAUUCAUCUCCGGGGGUAGAGCACUGUUUCGGCUAGGGGGCCAUCCCGGCUUACCAACCCGAUGCAAACUGCGAAUACCGGAGAAUGUUAUCACGGGAGACACACGGCGGGUGCUAACGUCCGUCGUGAAGAGGGAAACAACCCAGACCGCCAGCUAAGGUCCCAAAGUCAUGGUUAAGUGGGAAACGAUGUGGGAAGGCCCAGACAGCCAGGAUGUUGGCUUAGAAGCAGCCAUCAUUUAAAGAAAGCGUAAUAGCUCACUGGUCGAGUCGGCCUGCGCGGAAGAUGUAACGGGGCUAAACCAUGCACCGAAGCUGCGGCAGCGAACGUAUCACCCAAGACAACUUUACGGAGUUGACGAUUGACGGAGCGAAGCGACGUCAAAGCGUUCAUUAAAGUCGAGUUGGCUUAGGGAUACGUUCGUUGGGUAGGGGAGCGUUCUGUAAGCCUGUGAAGGUGUGUCGUGAGGCAUGCUGGAGGUAUCAGAAGUGCGAAUGCUGACAUAAGUAACGAUAAAGCGGGUGAAAAGCCCGCUCGCCGGAAGACCAAGGGUUCCUGUCCAACGUUAAUCGGGGCAGGGUGAGUCGACCCCUAAGGCGAGGCCGAAAGGCGUAGUCGAUGGGAAACGGGUUAAUAUUCCCGUACUUGGUGUUACUGCGAAGGGGGGACGGAGAAGGCUAUGUUGGCCGGGCGACGGUUGUCCCGGUUUAAGCGUGUAGGUGUGUGUUCCAGGUAAAUCCGGUUCACUUUAACACUGAGGCGUGAUGACGAGGCACUACGGUGCUGAAGCAACAAAUGCCCUGCUUCCAGGAAAAGCCUCUAAGCAUCAGGUAACAUCAAAUCGUACCCCAAACCGACACAGGUGGUCAGGUAGAGAAUACCAAGGCGCUUGAGAGAACUCGGGUGAAGGAACUAGGCAAAAUGGUGCCGUAACUUCGGGAGAAGGCACGCUGACACGUAGGUGAAGUGAUUUACUCACGGAGCUGAAGUCAGUCGAAGAUACCAGCUGGCUGCAACUGUUUAUUAAAAACACAGCACUGUGCAAACACGAAAGUGGACGUAUACGGUGUGACGCCUGCCCGGUGCCGGAAGGUUAAUUGAUGGGGUCAGCGCAAGCGAAGCUCCUGAUCGAAGCCCCGGUAAACGGCGGCCGUAACUAUAACGGUCCUAAGGUAGCGAAAUUCCUUGUCGGGUAAGUUCCGACCUGCACGAAUGGCGUAAUGAUGGCCAGGCUGUCUCCACCCGAGACUCAGUGAAAUUGAACUCGCUGUGAAGAUGCAGUGUACCCGCGGCAAGACGGAAAGACCCCGUGAACCUUUACUAUAGCUUGACACUGAACAUUGAGCCUUGAUGUGUAGGAUAGGUGGGAGGCUUUGAAGUGUGGACGCCAGUCUGCAUGGAGCCGACCUUGAAAUACCACCCUUUAAUGUUUGAUGUUCUAACGUGGACCCGUUACCCGGGUUGCGGACAGUGUCUGGUGGGUAGUUUGACUGGGGCGGUCUCCUCCUAAAGAGUAACGGAGGAGCACGAAGGUUGGCUAAUCCUGGUCGGACAUCAGGAGGUUAGUGCAAUGGCAUAAGCCAGCUUGACUGCGAGCGUGACGGCGCGAGCAGGUGCGAAAGCAGGUCAUAGUGAUCCGGUGGUUCUGAAUGGAAGGGCCAUCGCUCAACGGAUAAAAGGUACUCCGGGGAUAACAGGCUGAUACCGCCCAAGAGUUCAUAUCGACGGCGGUGUUUGGCACCUCGAUGUCGGCUCAUCACAUCCUGGGGCUGAAGUAGGUCCCAAGGGUAUGGCUGUUCGCCAUUUAAAGUGGUACGCGAGCUGGGUUUAGAACGUCGUGAGACAGUUCGGUCCCUAUCUGCCGUGGGCGCUGGAGAACUGAGGGGGGCUGCUCCUAGUACGAGAGGACCGGAGUGGACGCAUCACUGGUGUUCGGGUUGUCAUGCCAAUGGCACUGCCCGGUAGCUAAAUGCGGAAGAGAUAAGUGCUGAAAGCAUCUAAGCACGAAACUUGCCCCGAG
RNAcentral lists this ribosomal RNA (2196 nucleotides) under Salmonella enterica subsp. enterica serovar Heidelberg. Its description in RNAcentral is "partial 23S ribosomal RNA". It matches the Rfam family "Bacterial large subunit ribosomal RNA", at positions 711 to 2803 of the family's 2925-position model. The record is from RNAcentral. Lineage: Bacteria; Pseudomonadati; Pseudomonadota; Gammaproteobacteria; Enterobacterales; Enterobacteriaceae.